RNAcentral lists this long non-coding RNA (2340 nucleotides) under Arabidopsis lyrata. Its description in RNAcentral is "long non-coding RNA (ALYR_LNC001446)". Lineage: Eukaryota; Viridiplantae; Streptophyta; Magnoliopsida; Brassicales; Brassicaceae. The record is from RNAcentral.
AACUUGUAAGAAAAUAAAACAAAAAAACCGAUGUCUCUCUCUUCUCUCUCUCCCUCACCUCCUCUUUAUUCUCUGCUUCGGAUCUCUAUCUCUCUCUCUCUCCCUGAUUAAACCUCUAAAAUCAGGUAAUUAUUUCUUUUAGUCAUCAUCAUAAUCGGUGAUUUCAAUCUCCGAUUGUUGUUUUUUUCGUUUAUCUUGCAGGGAGUUUUUUGGUUUCAGAUUCUCUGAAAAAUUAGCAAAGUCUUUGUUUUUUGUUUUCUGCUGUUUGCAUAGUUCCCAUUGAAGCUUUUUCUCACAAUCUUAAUGUUCUUAAGGUUAGAGUUUUGUUGCUGUUUUUUUUUUUUUUAUUUUGCAUUGGUCCAUUGCUCAACAAAUUUUCAAAACAGAAGACCAGAAAUAAUAAUUAAACAGCAUUAUGCAAAAACUAAAAGUUGCAGUUAGAUUUCGAAACAUAACAAACUUUAGCAAUUUCGGAUGUGUCGGUUAUAGCAUCGGUACUUCUAAAGCACAUUUUGAGAUUAUUCCUUUGCAUAAAUAUAAUAGCCUCUAUUGGCCUGAUAUCAAAGAGGUGUUACUAACUUACUAUCCUCAGUUCUUUCAGAACAGCAGAAGUGUGAUAAGGAAAUAAAAUUUACCUGAGACCAGCUGCAGAACUUUGUAGACUAAGAAGCUUGCCAUCGCUUAGUUGAUGGUUACCAUCUGCGCGCAUUCCCUAUGCUUAGAACAAGUUCUCAAUCAUUGAUUUUUGAAACAGAGAGGAUUUUGAUGCAACAAAUAAAAAACAAUUACCAGGCACCCUCCAUAUAACCCUCUUCCUAAUCUGAUCUUGAAAGCUUUAUUCAGCUUUAGCAGUUUCUUCGCAUCAAUAAGACGAGAUGAAAAAUACGUAAGCAAUGAGAUCCGCCGAACUUAUUUUUAACAACUGCAACAGAGAGACAUAGAGUAGUUUAUUGAGGAAAGGUUUAAGGACAUGCUCAGAUUCAAGAAGAGUUUAAUGACCACAAGGAAACAAUGUGAAUGAAUAGACAAAGUAUCCAAAAAGAAUCGAAAUAAAGCAUCAAACCUGUUCAUACAUGUAAGGAUUAGUAAUACAAUUGAUCCUUAAGCGCCAAUCCUUAAGACCAAAGCUGAAAGCUUUGAUAUAUGGUAACAUCCGACGUCGAAGAUCGAUAUCCUCAAUGUAAUCAAGAACCGAUUCAACCCGAGUUUUGUCUUCUACACUUAGCAUACUGAGAGCUUUUACCUAUGCAAUAGAUAAAAACAUAAGAUCUUUAGUAUAUUACUAAUCAAAGCAGUGUCACAUUACACAUAAUCAUUUUCCUUACUAACCUCGGAAGAUCUUUGAUCUAUGAGUUUACUGGAGAAAUACUUAUACACAGCCUUUGAGCUACUGGUUCCAGUAUCAACAUAAAUCUUAAGCCUCUUCUUUUGUUGUUCCUUUAUUGAGCAAAUCCUUGUCUACGCCGAGUUCCGGUGAUAAAAGCAUAUGAUCCUAAACGCAAAAGAAACUCGGCCGACACGAUUGGCCAGGAGCAGAGGCAUAAGCACCGGAGGUUUCACAAUUGGAAGAGACUGUACGGCGAGUCAACCACGAUUACACGGUGGAAAGAUCGGACGCCGGCGGUGGAGUUAUUCUCGGAAGCUUACCUACUACGUUUUUAAAAUCCAAGGGCUUUUAGAUUUUUUUUGUAUUCUAAGUGGACUAUUAAGUGGGCUAUUACUUUGGUUGGACCAAAACAAAUGAUUGUUUUGAAAUUUAAUCAGAAAAAGUGAUGUGGAAAAAUAGAAUAAUAUUAUUGGAAGAUAAAUUUGAGUUGUAUUAUUUGAUAUGUUUUGAUUGGGUAUCGAUUUUACUGAGGUAUCACCUCCAGAACACUCCAAAAACUGAGGUGUCAACACUGUAGAGACUUUUGUUGUUUUGAUUGUAUUGAUUGAAAAAUAUUUGAUCUAUUUUGAGUUUUAUAUAAUUUUUAGUAAUUGAAAAAUAAUUUUUUUUUCAGGGUAUUCUUGCUCCAGAGUCCAGACAAUAUUGAACGAGACAAAAUGGUCUACGACGUCGUUUACCAUUUUGGUUCUUCCUUGUUCUCUCACCCCGACUCGUUCACUGACUCGGUUGGUGCUUGAUUCGUGCCGAUGAAGUGCCGAUCCGUGGCCUGCCUCUGGUCUCGAGCUCCUCCAUCUCAUCGAGUCACCGCCACAGCCUCUCUAACAAAUCCACCGACUCUCUAUAUUUUAAAAUUUAAAAUCCGCCGAAAUACUGUUAUAUUUUUUAAAAUUUUUGUUUUGUUACAUAAAUUAUGUAAUUUUGUUAGUACAAACAAUAUUUAAAUUAUGUAAUUU